CCUACGGGAGGCAGCAGUGGGGAAUUUUGGACAAUGGGCGAAAGCCUGAUCCAGCGACGCCGCGUGGAGGACGAAGGUCUUCGGAUUGUAAACUCCUUUUGCAGGGGACGAAAAAAAUGACGGUACUCUGCGAAUAAGCCACGGCUAACUACGUGCCAGCAGCCGCGGUAAUACGUAGGUGGCGAGCGUUACUCGGAAUCACUGGGUGUAAAGCGCGAGUAGGCGGUUAAUUAAGUCAGAUGUGAAAGCCCACGGCUCAACCGGGGAAGUGCAUCUGAAACUGGUAAGCUAGAGUGUGAGAGAGGGAUGCGGAAUUCCGGGUGUAGCGGUAAAAUGCGUAGAUAUCGGGAGGAACACCAGUGGCGAGGGCGGAAUCCGGGCUCAUAACUGACGCUGAGUCGCGAAAGCGGGGGGAUCAAACAGGAUUAGAUACCCCGGUAGU
This 442-nucleotide ribosomal RNA is filed under the name uncultured bacterium. RNAcentral's name for it is "partial 16S ribosomal RNA". It matches the Rfam family "Bacterial small subunit ribosomal RNA", at positions 338 to 794 of the family's 1533-position model. The record is from RNAcentral.